GACAGAGGUGGCAAGCGUUGUUCGGAUUUACUGGGCUUAAAGGGCGCGUAGGCGGCUUUAUAAGUCCGAGGUGGAAUUCCACAGCUUAACUGUGGAACUGCCUUGGAAACUAUAAGGCUUGAGUCAGGUAGAGGAGGGCGGAAUUCCAGGUGUAGCGGUGAAAUGCGUAGAUAUCGGGAGGAAGGCCGGUGGCGAAAGCGGCCCUCUGGGCCUGUACUGACGCUGAGGCGAGAAAGCGUGGGGAGCAAACAGG
RNAcentral lists this ribosomal RNA (253 nucleotides) under uncultured bacterium. Its description in RNAcentral is "partial 16S ribosomal RNA". It matches the Rfam family "Bacterial small subunit ribosomal RNA", at positions 524 to 776 of the family's 1533-position model. The record is from RNAcentral.